GCAGGGGUCGCCUAGUCUGGUCAAGGGCGCCAGGCUUAGGACCUGGUGGCUUAGUGCCUUCGUGGGUUCAAAUCCCACCUCCCGCA
This is a transfer RNA of 86 nucleotides. It matches the Rfam family "tRNA". Rfam says of the family: Transfer RNA (tRNA) molecules are approximately 80 nucleotides in length. Their secondary structure includes four short double-helical elements and three loops (D, anti-codon, and T loops).